RNAcentral lists this non-coding RNA (183 nucleotides) under Candidatus Rokubacteria bacterium RIFCSPHIGHO2_02_FULL_69_13. RNAcentral describes it as "6S RNA". It matches the Rfam family "6S / SsrS RNA". From Rfam's summary of the family: E. coli 6S RNA was the first non coding RNA to be sequenced, but its function was unknown until recently. Lineage: Bacteria; Candidatus Rokuibacteriota. RNAcentral also lists the same sequence under 1 other name. The record is from RNAcentral.
AAAUCCCUGCGCUGCAGGUGAUGCCGGGGGAAAGUUUCAACCCAAUUAUCCAAACGGGGGCUUGACUGUGAGGGUGGUGUGCAUGCCCCUCCGAGUAGGGGAAGCCUAAAGCCCUCCUAUAUAGCACCCACCUGGUACACCAGGUUCGAAACACCGUCGGCACACGGCAGAGGUGGGGAGAAA